This is a long non-coding RNA of Pseudopipra pipra, 416 nucleotides long. RefSeq lists it as uncharacterized. The record is from RefSeq and is a predicted model, not a curated record. The transcript has 2 exons. NCBI's taxonomy places the organism in Eukaryota, Metazoa, Chordata, Aves, Passeriformes, Pipridae.
GACACUUCUCUGCUUGGGAAUUGCUCUGUAUCCCUUCUUUUUGUCGUGGUGCUUCCUGAGUGGCAGACCUAUAAAUUUUCACCCUCUCUCAAGCCACAAGUGGGUUAAUGAACCUUGCAAGGCACAGGAUUAACAAGACGAAAAAGGAGCUCAGGAGUAGUGAAAAUGGCGUCAGCAUUAACUGGAGAAAUGGAUUGCUCUCCAAGUUUGUCCAUUUGGCAGCACUUGUGGGCAAGAAAUGUGACAUUUCCUCUCCUUUUUUUCUUCAUUCCUUGCCCAUUCUUUGCACUCUGUCAGCUAUUCAAGAAAUGGACUUUAUUCAUCUGUACAAAAGGUGCAGUUUAUAGAUGCCUCCUGAUCCUUUAAGGUUGUUCAUUCCAGGGCAACUCAAAACUAAAAUACACCUUGUGAGUUUA